CGGGGUGCACCAGGCGCGAAAACUUUGCAAUGCGGGAAACCGUGACAAGGGAACUCUGAGUGCCCGUUAAAUCGGGCUGUCCAUCGGUUUAAAUAACCGGUGAAGAAAGGGCCGGGCAAGACCGGUGCCAGCCGCCGCGGUAAUACCGGCGGCUCGAGUGGUGGCCACUAUUACUGGGCUUAAAGCGUUCGUAGCUGGUUUGUUAAGUCUCUGGGGAAAUCUUCCGGCUUAACCGGAAGGCGUCUCAGGGAUACUGGCAGACUAGGGACCGGGAGAGGUGAGAGGUACUCCAGGGGUAGGAGUGAAAUCCUGUAAUCCUUGGGGGACCACCUGUGGCGAAGGCGUCUCACCAGAACGGCUCCGACAGUGAGGGACGAAAGCUGGGGGAGCAAACCGGAUUAGAUACCCGGGUAGUCCCAGCUGUAAACGAUGCGCGUUAGGUGUAUCGGUGACCACGAGUCACCGAGGUGCCGAAGAGAAAUCGUGAAACGUGCCGCCUGGGAAGUACGGUCGCAAGGCUGAAACUUAAAGGAAUUGGCGGGGGAGCAC
Molecule: ribosomal RNA, 549 nt
Filed under: uncultured archaeon
Lineage: Archaea
Description: bacterial SSU rRNA
Rfam family: Archaeal small subunit ribosomal RNA
Source: RNAcentral